RNAcentral lists this ribosomal RNA (1273 nucleotides) under human gut metagenome. RNAcentral describes it as "bacterial LSU rRNA". It matches the Rfam family "Bacterial large subunit ribosomal RNA", at positions 1676 to 2925 of the family's 2925-position model. The record is from RNAcentral.
GAAUACCAAGGCGAUCGAGCGAAUCCUGGUCAAGGAACUCGGCAAAUCACUCCCGUGCCUUCGGUAUAAGGGAGACCCGCUGGGGUGAACCGGCUAGCCCGGGGAGCUUUGGUGGGUGGCACAGACCAGGGGGUAGCGACUGUUUACCAAAAACACAGGUGCAUGCGAAGGCGAAAGCCGCUGUAUAUGCACUGACGCCUGCCCGGUGCCGGAAGGUUAAGAGGAUCCGUCAAUCCCUUCGGGGACGAAGCGGUGAAUUCAAGCCCCGGUAAACGGCGGUGGUAACUAUAACCAUCCUAAGGUAGCGAAAUUCCUUGUCGGGUAAGUUCCGACCUGCACGAAUGGCGUAACGACUUCCCCACUGUCUCGACCAGGAGCUCGGCGAAAUUGCAGUACGAGUAAAGAUGCUCGUUAAGCGCAGAAGGACGAAAAGACCCCGGGACCUUUACUAUACCUUGGUAUUGGCGUUAGGCGCGGAUUGUGUAGCAUAGGCGGGAGGCUUCGAAGCGGGUGCGCCAGCAUUCGUGGAGCCGCAAGGUGAAAUACCGCUCUGUUCUCGUUUGACGUCUAACCUCGACAAGUCAUCCUUGUCAGGGACAGUGCCUGGCGGGUAGUUCAACUGGGGCGGUUGCCUCCCAAAGAGUAACGGAGGCGCUCAAAGGUCCGCUCAGCCCGGUUGGCAAUCGGGUGUCGAGUGUAAUCGCAGAAGCGGGCUUGACUGCGAGGACGACGGUCCGAGCAGGGACGAAAGUCGGAGAUAGUGAUCCGGUGCCGGCGCACGGGCGCGGCAUCGCUCAACGGAUAAAAGGUACCCCGGGGAUAACAGGCUGAUCAUUCCCAAGAGUCCAUAUCGACGGGAUGGUUUGGCACCUCGAUGUCGGCUCGUCGCAUCCUGGGGCUGGAGCAGGUCCCAAGGGUUCGGCUGUUCGCCGAUUAAAGCGGCACGCGAGCUGGGUUCAGAACGUCGUGAGACAGUUUGGUCUCUAUCCUCUGCGCUCGUUGGAAUCCUGAGGAGGCCUGCCCAUAGUACGAGAGGACCUGGGUGGACGAACCUCUGGUAUGCCGGUUGUCGCGCCAGCGGCACGGCCGGUUGGCUACGUUCGGGAGGGAUAACCGCUGAAAGCAUCUAAGCGGGAAGCCUGCUCCAAGAUUAGGAUUCCAUGGAUCUUCGAGAUCCUGUAGCCCGCAUGUUGAACACGUGUUUGAUAGGCCGGAGGUGGAAGUCCCGUGAGGGGUGGAGCCGACCGGUACUAACGGGCGAUGGCGACACAAC